RNAcentral lists this ribosomal RNA (2900 nucleotides) under Clostridioides difficile. RNAcentral describes it as "23S ribosomal RNA". It matches the Rfam family "Bacterial large subunit ribosomal RNA". Lineage: Bacteria; Bacillati; Bacillota; Clostridia; Peptostreptococcales; Peptostreptococcaceae. The record is from RNAcentral.
UGGUCAAGUUAUUAAGGGUGCAGGGCGGAUGCCUUGGCACUAGGAGCCGAUGAAGGACGUGAUAAGCUGCGAUAAGCUUCGGGGAGUUGCACGUAAACUUUGAUCCGAAGAUUUCCGAAUGAGGAAACUCACUUAGAGUAAUGUCUAAGUAUCAUUAAGUGAAUACAUAGCUUAAUGAGGGGAACUCAGGGAACUGAAACAUCUAAGUACCUGAAGGAAGAGAAAGAAAUUCGAUUCCGUAAGUAGCGGCGAGCGAACGCGGAUUAGCCCAAACCAAUAAAGUUUUCUUUAUUGGGGUUGCGGACAUAUCAUAACGAAGAGGUAUCGUAAUUGAAGAGGUUUGGAAAGACCCACCACAGAAGGUAAUAGUCCUGUAUGUUAAACGAGAAGACUUUAGAUAUGAUCCAGAGUACCACGGGACACGUGAAACCCUGUGGGAAGCAGGAGGGACCACCCUCCAAGGCUAAAUACUACCUAGUGACCGAUAGCGUAUAGUACCGUGAGGGAAAGGUGAAAAGAACCCCGGGAGGGGAGUGAAAUAGAACCUGAAACCCUGCACUUACAAGCUGUGGAAGCACAUUUCUUGUGUGACCGCGUACUUUUUGUAGAACGGGCCAACGAGUUACGUUAAGUAGCAAGGUUAAGCACUUAAGGUGUGGAGCCGUAGCGAAAGCGAGUUUUAACUGAGCGUUCAGUUACUUGACGUAGACCCGAAACCGGGCGACCUACCCAUGAGCAGGAUGAAGCGAAAGUAAAAUUUCGUGGAGGUCCGAACCCACGAGCGUUGAAAAGCUCGGGGAUGACUUGUGGGUAGCGGUGAAAUUCCAAUCGAGCCCGGAGAUAGCUGGUUCUCCCCGAAAUAGCUUUAGGGCUAGCCUCAAGGUGAGAGAUACGGAGGUAGAGCACUGAAUGUCCUAGGGGGUAUUGCACCUACCGAAGACUAUCAAACUCCGAAUGCCGUCAUCUUAUACUUGGGAGUCAGACUGUGGGUGAUAAGAUUCAUAGUCGAAAGGGCAACAGCCCAGAUCGUCAGCUAAGGUCCCUAAAUGUAAGUUAAGUGGUAAAGGAUGUGGGAUUGCACAGACAACCAGGAUGUUGGCUUAGAAGCAGCCACUCAUUCAAAGAGUGCGUAAUAGCUCACUGGUCGAGUGAUCCUGCGCCGAAGAUUUCCGGGGCUAAAACUUACUACCGAAGCUACGGCAUCAGUAAUGAUGGGUAGGGGAGCUUCCCAUACGGGUUGAAGCAUGACCGUAAGGACAUGUGGACAGUAUGGGAGUGAGAAUGUUGGCAUGAGUAGCGAGAUGUGGGUGAGAAUCCCACAGGCCGUAAACCCAAGGUUUCCAGGGGAAGGUUCGUCCGCCCUGGGUUAGUCGGGACCUAAGCUGAGGCCGAAAGGCGUAGGUGAUGGACAACAGGUUGAUAUUCCUGUACUACCGAUAACCGUUUGAGAGAAGGGAUGACACAGUAGGAUAAGCUAAGCACACUGUUGGUUAUGUGUGCCCAAGCAUUGAGGCAGUCAAAGUAGGCAAAUCCGCUUUGAUAAUGCUGGGAUGUGAUGGGGAGCGAAAUUUAGUAGCGAAGUAGCUGAUUUCACACUGUCAAGAAAAGUCUCUAUCGAGGUUAAAGGUACCCGUACCGCAAACCGACACAGGUGGGUGAGGAGAGUAUCCUAAGGCCAGCGAGAGAACUGUUGUUAAGGAACUCGGCAAAAUGACCCCGUAACUUAGGGAUAAGGGGUGCCACCAUCAGGUGGCCGCAGAGAAUAGGCCCAAGCGACUGUUUACCAAAAACAUAGGUUUCUGCUAAGUCGCAAGACGAUGUAUAGGAGCUGACGCCUGCCCGGUGCUGGAAGGUUAAGGGGAUCUGUUAGAGCAAUCGAAGCAGUGAACUUAAGCCCCAGUAAACGGCGGCCGUAACUAUAACGGUCCUAAGGUAGCGAAAUUCCUUGUCGGGUAAGUUCCGACCCGCACGAAAGGCGUAACGAUUUGGGCACUGUCUCAACAACAGACUCGGUGAAAUUGUAAUUCCGGUGAAGAUGCCGGAUACCUGCGACAGGACGGAAAGACCCCAUGGAGCUUUACUGUAGCUUGACAUUGGGUCUUGGUACUACAUGUACAGGAUAGGUGGGAGGCUUUGAAACCAGGACGCCAGUUUUGGCGGAGCCAUCCUUGGGAUACCACCCUUGUAGUACUGGGACUCUAACCAUAGGCCAUGAAUCUGGUCUUGGGACACUGUCAGGUGGGCAGUUUGACUGGGGCGGUCGCCUCCCAAAAGGUAACGGAGGCGCUCAAAGGUUCUCUCAGUACGGUCGGAAAUCGUACGUAGAGUGUAAAGGCAAAAGAGAGCUUGAUUGCAAGACAUACAGGUCGAGCAAGGAUGAAAAUCGGACUUAGUGAUCCGGUGGUUCUGCGUGGAAGGGCCAUCGCUCAACGGAUAAAAGCUACCCUGGGGAUAACAGGCUUAUCUCCCCCAAGAGUCCACAUCGACGGGGAGGUUUGGCACCUCGAUGUCGGCUCAUCACAUCCUGGGGCUGUAGUAGGUCCCAAGGGUUGGGCUGUUCGCCCAUUAAAGUGGUACGCGAGCUGGGUUCAGAACGUCGUGAGACAGUUCGGUCCCUAUCCGUCGCAGGCGUAGGAAAUUUGAGAAGACCUGUCCUUAGUACGAGAGGACCGGGAUGGACGUACCUCUGGUGUACCAGUUGUCCUGCCAAGGGCAUGGCUGGGUAGCUAUGUACGGAAUGGAUAAGCGCUGAAAGCAUCUAAGCGCGAAGCCAACUUCAAGAUAAGAUUUCCCACCGCAAGGGUAAGACCCCAGAAAGACUAUCUGGUUGAUAGGUCGAAGGUGUAAGUGCAGCAAUGUAUUUAGCUUAUCGACACUAAUAGGUCGAGGACUUGACCAAU